This 67-nucleotide transfer RNA is filed under the name Ictidomys tridecemlineatus (thirteen-lined ground squirrel). RNAcentral describes it as "Spermophilus tridecemlineatus (thirteen-lined ground squirrel) tRNA". It matches the Rfam family "tRNA". Rfam says of the family: Transfer RNA (tRNA) molecules are approximately 80 nucleotides in length. Their secondary structure includes four short double-helical elements and three loops (D, anti-codon, and T loops). Further hydrogen bonds mediate the characteristic L-shaped molecular structure. tRNAs have two regions of fundamental functional importance: the anti-codon, which is responsible for specific mRNA codon recognition, and the 3' end, to which the tRNAs corresponding amino acid is attached (by aminoacyl-tRNA synthetases). tRNAs cope with the degeneracy of the genetic code in two manners: having more than one tRNA (with a specific anti-codon) for a particular amino acid; and 'wobble' base-pairing, i.e. permitting non-standard base-pairing at the 3rd anti-codon position. Lineage: Eukaryota; Metazoa; Chordata; Mammalia; Rodentia; Sciuridae. The record is from Rfam by way of RNAcentral.
GGUUGCAGCUCAGUGUUAGAGCACUUGCCUAGCAUGCGUGAGGCCUUGGGUUCGAUCCCCAGAACCA